GACCUCUUAGCUCAGUGGUAGAGCAUGCGAUUCCAGCUUGGGAUCUCCGCAAGGCCGUCCGUUCAAUCCGGGCAGAGGUCA
Sphaerobolus stellatus SS14 is the source of this 81-nucleotide transfer RNA. It matches the Rfam family "tRNA". Rfam says of the family: Transfer RNA (tRNA) molecules are approximately 80 nucleotides in length. Their secondary structure includes four short double-helical elements and three loops (D, anti-codon, and T loops). NCBI's taxonomy places the organism in Eukaryota, Fungi, Basidiomycota, Agaricomycetes, Geastrales, Sphaerobolaceae. The record is from Rfam.